AUUCUCUCUUGCCUGUUGCCAUGUAAGAUGUGCCUUUUGCCUUCGAUCAUGAUUGUGAGGCUUCCCCAGCCACAUGGAACUACUCCAGGUUCUUCAACUUCGUGACUCGGACUGGCUUCUUUGCUCUGAAGAUUGCAGACAGCCUAUUGUGGGAGCUCACCUUGUGAUUGUGUUAUGUUUAAUUUCUUCACACCACUCAAAACUCAGCUUCUGAUUUCAAGAGUUCAACAACAGCCCUGAAGGAUUCUGUCUGUUUUACAGCUAUGUAAAUAUGUUUAAUCUUCAGAUUCCUACAAGUUCCAGAUGACAAUGGAAUAUAAAACACACAAAGCAGCUUCUGAAAAGCCACUCUGCCCUAACAAGGCAGCCUACAUAAUUGAAGACAAGUGAUGUAAAUAAUUUGCCGUGUAUGCUGGUCCCAUGUUCCUGGACUUCUCAGUCUCCCCCCAGAACUGUAAAAAAUAAAUUUCUUUUCUUUAU
Molecule: long non-coding RNA, 480 nt
Filed under: Pan troglodytes (chimpanzee)
Lineage: Eukaryota; Metazoa; Chordata; Mammalia; Primates; Hominidae
Description: lincRNA
Source: RNAcentral